AGAGUUUGAUCCUGGCUCAGGAUGAACGCUGGCGGUAUGCUUAACACAUGCAAGUCGAACGGUGUCUUCGGACACAGUGGCGGACGGGUGAGUAACGCGUGAGAAUCUGGCUCUAGGUCUGGGACAACCACUGGAAACGGUGGCUAAUACCGGAUGUGCCGAGAGGUGAAAGGUUAACUGCCUAGAGAUGAGCUCGCGUCUGAUUAGCUAGUUGGAAGUGUAAUGGACUCCCAAGGCGACGAUCAGUAGCUGGUCUGAGAGGACGAUCAGCCACACUGGGACUGAGACACGGCCCAGACUCCUACGGGAGGCUGCAGUGGGGAAUUCUCCGCAAUGGGCGAAAGCCUGACGGAGCAAUACCGCGUGAGGGAGGAAGGCUCUUGGGUCGUAAACCUCUUUUCUCAGGGAAGAACACAAUGACGGUACCUGAGGAAUAAGCAUCGGCUAACUCCGUGCCAGCAGCCGCGGUAAUACGGAGGAUGCAAGCGUUAUCCGGAAUGAUUUGGCGUAAAGCGUCCGCAGGUGGCAAUGUAAGUCUGCUGUUAAAGAGUCUAGCUCAACUAGAUAAAAGCAGUGGAAACUACAUAGCUAGAGUACGUUCGGGGCAGAGGGAAUUCCUGGUGUAGCGGUGAAAUGCGUAGAGAUCAGGAAGAACACCGGUGGCGAAGGCGCUCUGCUAGGCCGUAACUGACACUGAGGGACGAAAGCUAGGGGAGCGAAUGGGAUUAGAUACCCCAGUAGUCCUAGCCGUAAACGAUGGAUACUGGGCGUGGCUUGUAUCGACUCGAGCCGUGCCGUAGCUAACGCGUUAAGUAUCCCGCCUGGGGAGUACGCCGGCAACGGUGAAACUCAAAGGAAUUGACGGGGGCCCGCACAAGCGGUGGAGUAUGUGGUUUAAUUCGAUGCAACGCGAAGAACCUUACCAAGGCUUGACAUGUCGCGAAUCUUCUUGAAAGGGAAGAGUGCCUUCGGGAGCGCGAACACAGGUGGUGCAUGGCUGUCGUCAGCUCGUGUCGUGAGAUGUUGGGUUAAGUCCCGCAACGAGCGCAACCCUCGUUUUUAGUUGCCAGCAUUAAGUUGGGCACUCUAGAGAGACUGCCGGUGACAAACCGGAGGAAGGUGGGGAUGACGUCAAGUCAGCAUGCCCCUUACGCCUUGGGCUACACACGUACUACAAUGCUCCGGACAGAGGGCAGCAAGCAUGCGAAUGCAAGCAAAUCCCGUAAACCGGAGCUCAGUUCAGAUCGCAGGCUGCAACUCGCCUGCGUGAAGGAGGAAUCGCUAAUUGCAGGUCAGCAUACUGCAGUGAAUUCGUUCCCGGGCCUUGUACACACCGCCCGUCACACCAUGGAAGCUGGUAGUGCCCGAAGUCAUUACUCCAACCUUUCGGGGAGGAGGAUGCCUAAGGCAGGACUGGUGACUGGGGUGAAGUCGUAACAAGGUA
This 1444-nucleotide ribosomal RNA is filed under the name metagenome. RNAcentral's name for it is "bacterial SSU rRNA". It matches the Rfam family "Bacterial small subunit ribosomal RNA". The record is from RNAcentral.